This 239-nucleotide unclassified non-coding RNA is filed under the name uncultured fungus. Its description in RNAcentral is "sequence contains ITS1, 5.8S rRNA gene". The stretch from base 191 to 239 matches the Rfam family "5.8S ribosomal RNA", at positions 1 to 49 of the family's 154-position model. Lineage: Eukaryota; Fungi. The record is from RNAcentral.
UUUCCGUAGGUGAACCUGCGAGAGGAUCAUUACCGAGUUGCGCUCCUAACGGAGACUCCUCCACCCUGUGUUAAUUGAUAUUUGUUGCUUUGGUGGGCCGUCUUAAUGCCGCUGGCAAUGCUGGUGUGCGCCCGCCAAAGAUAUUUAUCAUCAAUAUAUUUGUUGUCUGAGCGAAAAUUUAAAUGCCCAAAACUUUCAACAACGGAUCUCUUGGUUCUGGCAUCGAUGAAGAACGCAGC